UGAUGAUGAUGAUGAUGAUAACGAUGAUGAUAAUGUAGAAGAUGGCGUGCGAUAAGAACGGUAUUAGUAUUGGUAGUAGUAGUGGUAGCAUCAUCAUCGUCAUCAUCAUAUUCC
RNAcentral lists this microRNA precursor (114 nucleotides) under Bigelowiella natans CCMP2755. Its description in RNAcentral is "miRNA EPrBNAG00000013306". The record is from RNAcentral. Lineage: Eukaryota; Cercozoa; Chlorarachniophyceae.